This 2118-nucleotide ribosomal RNA is filed under the name Triticum aestivum (bread wheat). RNAcentral describes it as "partial small subunit ribosomal RNA". The record is from RNAcentral. Lineage: Eukaryota; Viridiplantae; Streptophyta; Magnoliopsida; Poales; Poaceae.
AUGGCUUCGCAUGCGUACCCUUCCAAGAGACCAUUCCAGAAGAAGUAUUCAGAACACAAUGGUCGGGCCAAGUGGCAAAAGACAAAACAUGCUCCUUCACAGCAGCCUCAGCUGACAAUACAGCCUGGAGUUCCUCUUAUCCGCAUUCUUUGCCCUACUGAGAAAUGUGGGAAUGUUAUUGGUAAAGGUGGUAGCAUCAUUGCAAAGAUAAGGCAAGAAAACGGAGUGAAAAUCCGGGUUGAUGAAGCAGUCCCUGGUUGCGACGAGAGAGUUAUUGUCAUAACUACCGUUGAGAAGGACAAAGAAGCUAGCCACGAGCAAGGUAAAGAGAAUGAUGGUGGUACUGCUGUUUCUGCUGAUGGCGAGCAUGAGAAGGAGAAAGACCACAGUAAGGAAGAAAAAGAUGAUUCAGAUAAUGCCCACGGCAAGGAAGAACAAGAUGAUGCAGAGAGAGAUGACAGCAAGGAAGAAAAUGAUGAUUCCUCUGUUGCAAAAACUACAAAGUUGGAGCCAGAGAGGGUAAUACCAUCAGCAAUGAACGCUGUUUUGCAUGUCUUUGAUAGGAUUUUUAUAACUGAAAGUGAAAAUGGAACUGGAGAUGCAUCAGGCCAGAAAACUCCUCUUUCUUUCAGAUUGUUGGUGCUAGAUAGCCAAGUAGGUUCGCUUUUGGGAAUUCGAGGUAGUGUGAUUAAGCAAAUGUCCGCUGACAGUGGCUGUGAAAUCCGAGUUUCAAAGGAGAAUCUUCCUUUAUGUGCUUUACUCAAAGAUGAACUUUGUCAGAUUAAUGGAGAGCUUGACUCAGUUAGGAAAGGUCUGAAUGCAGUGGCUCAAGUGCUCUUUACUCACCCCCCUAGGGAAAGUGAUGUAGUUCCUGUUGUUCAUCCUUCUGGUUCAUCAUCACGCACCUUCGAUCGCUCAGAUGGUCUUCCUCCAGGAAUGCCACCUAACUUUCAUCUCCCUUUUCAAGGGCCAUCCCAUGCCAGGGGACCUUUUGAUACCAUUGACCAAAGGCCAAAUGUUGCACCUUUCCCAACUUUUCCUGACCAACGCUCAAACAUUCCUCCCUUUUCUGCUUUUCCUGAUGCUCUCAUGCAUGGCAACGCUUCAGUUCCUCCAGAACCUCUCACCUUCAGGCUAUUAUGUUCAAGUGACAAGGUCGGAAGUAUUAUAGGGAAGGGUGGAAACAGUAUCAAGACUAUUCAGAAAGAUACCGGUUGUGAAAUAAAAAUUCUCGAGACUAUUCCAAAGUCAGAUGAUCACAUCAUAAUCAUCUCUGGACCGGCGCAUCCAGGUGAUGGCAUUUCCCCAGCACAGAAUGCAAUUCUGCAUGUGCAGCGUAAAAUCACGCCACCCACCUCUAACAAGGAGGGUCCUGCAAUAUCUAGGCUGAUUGUUUCACCUAACCAAGUUGGCUGCCUCCUUGGCAAAGGUGGCAGUAUCAUAGCUGAAAUGAGGAAGCUGUCAAAAGCUCAUAUAAUAGUGCUGAGCAAAGACAAGAUCCCAAGGGGUGUACAAGAAAUUGAUGAAGUUGUUCAGAUAACCGGGGAUUCUGAGGCUAUUCAGGAAGCUCUGAUGCAGAUAACUGCUAGGCUACGUAACAAUCUUUUCCGGGACAGAAUGGCUUCAAUGGGUCCCAGUAUGCAGCCACCUUUUGGUUUGCUGGAUCCCCAGUUUGGUGCAUUUGCGGGAAUCCAUGAAUCUACAUCUCCUAGAAUUUAUCCUAAUGCAUCUCAGUUUCAUAAAGAUUUCAUGGGACGACCAUUGGAUGAGAUGCCUGCUCCUUGGACCACAAAGGAUGUUGGUGAUCCGAUGUCAAUAUCUGGCAUUCCUGGAAUGGCACACAGAGGAAUGGGUGGAUUCUCUGGUCCUGUUCAUUCAUCUAGGCCAAUCAUAACUGGAAAUAUCAUGGUUCCAAGAUUAGUUAUACCUGCUCUAUGUGGGCAUGAUGGAGGUUGUUUGAAUCUGAUUCGCGAGUUUUCAGGAGCUAAGAUAACAAUCGAUGAACCGCUAGCUGAUUCCAUCGAUACACCUGUUAUGAUAUCUGGCACACCGGAUCAGAUGCAUGCAGCCCGAAGUCUUGUUCAAGCAUUUGUUCUAAGUGAACCACCUGCCUCAUGA